RNAcentral lists this ribosomal RNA (332 nucleotides) under uncultured Desulfomonile sp. RNAcentral describes it as "bacterial SSU rRNA". It matches the Rfam family "Bacterial small subunit ribosomal RNA", at positions 568 to 898 of the family's 1533-position model. Lineage: Bacteria; Pseudomonadati; Thermodesulfobacteriota; Desulfomonilia; Desulfomonilales; Desulfomonilaceae. The record is from RNAcentral.
CGUGUAGGCGGCUCGGUAAGUGGGAUGUGAAAUCCCCAGGCUCACCCUGGGAACGGCAUCCCAAACUGCUGGGCUUGAGUGCGGGAGAGGAUGGGGGAAUUCCUGGUGUAGCGGUGAAAUGCGUAGAUAUCAGGAGGAACACCGGUGGCGAAGGCGCCCAUCUGGCCCGUUACUGACGCUGAGGCGCGAAAGCUAGGGGAGCAAACGGGAUUAGAUACCCCGGUAGUCCUAGCCGUAAACGGUGGGCACUAGGUGUUGGAGGCAUUGACCCCUCCAGUGCCGCAGCUAACGCAUUAAGUGCCCCGCCUGGGGAGUACGGCCGCAAGGCUGAA